GCGCAGAGGGGGACCAGGCAGCACACUGCUUCUACUCUCUUCUCUCUUCUAAUAACUCUCGCGAGACCCGUGGAGCGUUGCCAUGGUAACCGGGUCUUGCGAGAGGUAUUAGAAGAGAGAAGAGAGGAAAAGCUGUGUGCUGCCUGGGCCCCCUCUGCG
Molecule: non-coding RNA, 159 nt
Organism: Pelobates cultripes (western spadefoot toad)
Lineage: Eukaryota; Metazoa; Chordata; Amphibia; Anura; Pelobatidae
Source: the annotation of a GenBank genome assembly